Lycium barbarum (goji berry) is the source of this 441-nucleotide long non-coding RNA. RefSeq lists it as uncharacterized. Lineage: Eukaryota; Viridiplantae; Streptophyta; Magnoliopsida; Solanales; Solanaceae. The transcript has 3 exons. The record is from RefSeq and is a predicted model, not a curated record.
CUCUUUAACCCUAGCGCCGCUGAGAGAGAUUCUCUCUCCCCUACAUCACGCUCCUUAUUUUAGCAUGUUUACAGAGUGGUUUUGUGAUUUCUUCAUGUCUGUGUGGCCAUUUGAAAAUCAUGAACUUGGAAGGAGGCGUUUAGUCAGCAAAGUUAGAGAGACGUAAAGGUCGACAAGGAGACAGUGCAGAUGCUUAGGAGCUUGUACAACUAGUUUGCAGGAGCACUCCACUACUCCGGAGUUGCCAUUCCUUGGUAUAUUCUCUUGUGUACAUAUUGGGGCAUGGCGGGGUCCUGUCCCGCCCUCAUGAUUUCAGUACUUCAGUUAGAGGCUCGUAGAUACUUAUGUGUGGGUUGUAGAUGCUAUGUGACCCCUUCAUUGUAGAUUUUGUACCUCAUUUUUGUAGCCUUAUGGGCCUAUGCUUAUACGUGUUUUGACAGA